GCUUUGUUCCCAGGAGAAGCAAGAAAGCAGCCAGGGAGCGUGUGGCAACUCCCAACAGUUCUUUGUGGAUGAGAGCCGGCAUACAUAGGAUUACAUGGAGGCUUCAGGCAGCAGCAUUGGUCAAAUAGCUGACUCACACAAAGGAGGCAGCCAGUCCGAGGGAAACUUCCAAGUAACAGACAUCUACAACUGAGGAGGUCCUUCUCUCUGUCCCACCACCCACUCAAGUGUGUUUGGUGGGAACACAGGAGGCGGCCUUUUCGGUGGCUGCUCCUGGGCUGUGGAACUCCCAAGAGAAACCAGGGCGCCCCCAUCCCUACUUACUUUCCACAAGCAGGUACCUGUUUCUUUUCUCUCACAAAUGAGUGUCUUGAGCCUAUGAGGAAUCUGCUCGGAAAGAAAAAGACUGUGGUAAAUAAACCACAAGAAGAAGUAUUUUCCCCUGAAGAAUACUUAUUUCUUCUACAGGAUCUGAAAUUUCAUGCUCUGCUUUAAAGGGGAGAGUGACUUCAGUUUUCAGCGUAUUGCUUUUGUUUACUGCACAGUUCCAAUAUACGUAUAACCUUGGCUUUGUUUUCCUCUUAGGUAGUUCUACAUCCAAUUUAAAUGGGUAUUCUUUCAAUGUAUUGGAUUUGCCAUCCAAGGCUCCUCAAACAGGCAGUGAUAUCAUUUGCCACCAUAACAGUCUUUCCUUGAUUUCCUUAAUUUCAUUAUCAGACACAUUUAUCAACAUCUGUACAUGUAUUUUACUCUUUUGCUAAUUUGUUCAUUUUAUAGCAUCUCAGCUGUAGUUUUAGCUUAAGUUAUGUCUUCACCAGAAUGAAAGAAAAAGCCCACCUAGAAAGAGAGUGAAAUAGACCAAUUAAAAAUGAAAUAUAACAAGGCUACCUAAUGUAUAUAGAUUUAAGGAAUGAGAUGAGAAAUUUGAUUUGAUAAAGGGCAGAUAAAUUCCAUCAGAAUCAAUAUCUAAUUGAGUACAUGUUAUUAUCAACAUGCACUUGGGUAGGCAACUUGAUACUUUCCAAAUGUUUUUGGCUCAUGAGCCAGGGAGUAUAAGAACUGUAUGUAGUGCAAAUUAUGUAGCAGGUACUACAUUGUCCAUCUGUGACCCAAACUGCUUGAAAUAGCCUUCACAUUGUUGCUGUCACAAUUGACAUGGGCACCUUAUCUGCUGGUGUCAUUUCAUGGCAUUUCUGUACCACUAAUAGUCAGUCUGGCAUGAAAGUAAUUGAUAGAGAAUAUUUUUAGAAAAAGAUGGUCAUUAUGAGGGGAACCAUAAUGCUAGAUGUUUCUAGUUUCUAGUUAUCUCAUGAAACAAUUGUUUUUUUCACGGCAAUUUCAAGAUUUAGCUUUGUAGUCUACAAGACUUCAUUGUUGAGCCAACAAUGUGAUGCGGCUGCUAAAAAAGCCAAUGGGAUUCUGGCCUGCAUCAAUAGGGGAAUAGCGUCUAGAUCCAGGGAAGUUAUGCUCCUCCUCUAUUCUGCCUUGGUCAGACCACACCUGGAAUACUGUGUCCAAUUUUGGGCACCACAGUUGAAGGGAGAUGUUGACAAGCUGGAAAGCGUCCAGGGGAGGGCGACUAAAAUGAUUAAGGGUCUGGAGAACAAGCCCUAUGAGGAGCGGCUUAAAGAGCUGGGCAUGUUUAGCCUGCAGAAGAGAAGACUGAGAGGAGACAUGAUAGCCAUGUACAAAUACGUGAAGGGAAGUCAUAGGGAAGAGGGAGCAAGCUUGUUUUCUGCUGCCCUGCAGACUAGGACGCGGAACAAUGGCUUCAAACUACAGGAAAGGAGAUUCCACUUGAACAUCAGGAAGAACUUCCUCACUGUGAGAGCUGUUCGACAGUGGAACUCUCUCCCCGGGGCCGUGGUGGACGCUCCUUCCUUGGAGGCUUUUAAGCAGAGGCUGGAUGGCCAUCUGUCGGGGGUGCUUUGAAUGCGAUUUCCUGCUUCUUAGCAGGGGGUUGGACUAGAUGGCCCAUGUGGUCUCUUCCAACUCUACUAUUCUAUGAUUCUAUGAUUCUAUGAUUCUAGGAUGUGUACGUUUAGCCUGUUGUUACAUCUCCAUAGCUCCAUCUUUUUUUUUUCCCCUUACAAAACCCAUCUUAUAAAAGAUGCAGCUCACCAACACUGUCAUUUCCAUGUCACUGGAAAGAGAGGGAACAGUGGAGGUUCAUACAGCUUUUAUUCUGUAGCUGGACAUACUGCAACAUGUGUCCACAAGGACUCUUAGGGCUCACUGUGGAUUUCCUGCAGGGUUUAAAGCAGAAAGUUUUUAGGAUUGAACCAGGGGGUGCUAUGUAGUUUAACAGGUUUUUAAAUUGUCUCAUUGGUUUAUUAUUAUUAUUUAACAAGUCUUUUAAUAAAAUGUUAUUUAAAAAGACAUGUUAAAAUACAUAUUUAAAACCUAUUUUCAUGUUCAUUCACUUUGGGUUUUAAUGUACAUAUUGUAUAAUUUUAGUGUUAGCUAUUUUGAGUCUUUUUUGGGAAAUAAGAAGUGUAAUAAUAAUAAUAAUAAUAAUAAUAAUAAUAAUAAUAAUAAUAAUAAUGGUAUAUUAGUGCAUAUAAGUGUAAUAAUAAUAAUAAUAAUAAUAACCACCUGGCUAUGGCUCACGAAUGGUACACUAAAGGAGACAGAAGGCCUGAUUCUUGCAGCCCAAGAGCAAGCCAUCCAAACAAAUGCAAUUAAGGCCAAGAUCGAAAAGCAGCUGAUGACCCAAAAUGCAAACUGUGCAAAGAAGCUGACGAAACCAUUGAUCAUAUCCUCAGCUGCUGUAAGAAAAUCGCACAGACUACAAACAGAGGCACAACUAUGUGGCCCAAAUGAUUCAUUGGAAUUUAUGUCACAAGUACAAUCUGCCAGUAGUAAAGAACUGGUGGGAUCGCAAACCUGCAAAAGUAUUGUGGAAAAGAAAAAGUUUGGAUUAUUGAUGUCACUAUACCAGGUGACAGUCGAAUUGAUGAAAAACAACACAAAAAAUUAAACCGUUAUCAAGACCUCAAGAUCAAACUGCAUAGGCUCUGGCAUAAACUAGCUCAGGUGGUCCCGGUGGUAAUUGGUGCACUGGGUGCCAUGCCAAAAGAUCUCAGCUGGCAUUUGGAAACAAUAAACGUUGACAAAAUUACGAUCGGUCAACUGCAAAAGGCCACCUUACUGGGAUCUGUGCGCAUCAUCCGAAAAUACAUCACACAGUCCUAAACGCUUGGGAAGUGUUCAACGUGAUUUUGUGAUAUGAAAUCCACCAAAUAUAUCUCGUUUGAAGUCACACUGUGUCUUUGUGUCAAUAAUAAUAAUAAUAAUAAUAAUAAUAAUAAUAAUAAUAAUAAUAAUAAUAAUAUCUUUGCAGUGUAUCCAGUUACAGAAAAAUGACUGGAUACAUUUCUAUUUCUCCCCUGUUUUCCAAUUGCAUGCAAAAAGCAGUGGGAGGAGGGGCAGAGAGGGAGUCUAUAUUGCUUGAAAGUAGUUAGAAGCAUUUUGAAAUUAUGACUUCCACAAUCAGCCAAAAGAGAGGGUUAUGGUAUCAUAAAUUGGAUUUAAACUCAUAUCACGGCUCACUGAUAGGAUGUCUGCCAUAACUCUAUGCAGAACCGUUUUCCAAUAAGACAGCUGCAAACAUAGGUUAAACGGUCGGAAUAAAAUCUACUGCCCCUAUCAUGUUAUCAUUUGCCAACAUUCUUAUGUCCUAUUUUGCAAAAUCGUCUAUUUUAUAGUUUCAUAAUUUUGUUUAGUCUACAGUCUAUAGGGCACUUGCUGAAGAUAAGCAAUUUAGGUGGGACCUCUCCUUGCUUGAAAGGGAACCUGCUUAAGGAGCCCCUAAUGGAUACCAUUUGCAUUCUAUAGGUCGGAAUAAAAUCUACUGCCCCUAUCAUGUUAUCAUUUGCCAACAUUCUUAUGUCCUAUUUUGCAAAAUCGUCUAUUUUAUAGUUUCAUAAUUUUGUUUAGUCUACAGUCUAUAGGGCACUUGCUGAAGAUAAGCAAUUUAGGUGGGACCUCUCCUUGCUUGAAAGGGAACCUGCUUAAGGAGCCCCUAAUGGAUACCAUUUGCAUUCUAUAGGUGGGGUAUACAUUUCAUAUUAAUGAAAAAAUAUAAAGGCAAUUCUUAAUAAAUCAACCAACAAAUAAAUAAAUAUAUCUUAGCUUUAGCUAUGUCUAGUCUCUAGGAAGCAUUCUAAUAUGUUUUUCUUAAAAGCUAAACUGUACAGUUUAAAACAAACCAUGUUGAUUUGAAAAGCUAGGUCAAAUCUCCUUCAUGAUAAUCUAAGCAGUUUUGUUUAGGUGUUAUAUUUGUGCUUUAAGUGAGCUGGUGUUUCCAAGCCCUUCUUUGAGCAAAAACAACUUGCUGCUUUCUCAGAGCCGCAUACAAAUUCAUUUCUCAUCUGAGGGUUGCAAGCAAAGAUGACACUUUGUAAAUUGUUCAUUAAGAGCUAGAUUGGGGCCACAAACUAAUUCCAGGCAUGCCAGUCAAAGGCCAUUAGAACAAUGGUGAUGCAGAUACAUUUGCAUUUUAGCCAUGCUUGGAAGUGAACUUGACACAAACCUGGUCGGCUUAUAUGAGCAGCCUCUUGAGUCAUCCAGUUCCAUUCAGGGACAUUUUUGAUGUACAUUGAAUUUAGCUAAUUGUAUGAAAAUAAAUCAUUUCGGACAUUUAGCCUUUCUUAAUGUAGCCUCAAUUUGUAUAUUGUGUUUUGUUACUGUCUGUAUAAUUGAGAACAUUUGAGGAGUUCACAAAACAACCAUUUGAAUAGCUCAUAACAUAGCCAAUUUGAUAUGCUAUAGUCAGAUUAUACAAUACGUAUUGCAAAGCCAGGCAUACUUUACAAAGUAUGUGGAACAUGUUGUUUUCCGGAUAUUCCUGGACUGUAAUGUCCAUUAUACCUCCUCAUUCUCUGUUGGGCAUCUGGAAGUUGCAAUCUACCAAUAUCUGAAGGGUCACAUUUCCCGUCAUCUUUACUGUUCAUGCUAGCUAAGAUAUAGCCCUAGCUCUUACCAUUCCUUUUUUAAAAUAUACAUUCAAAAGAACAAAGAUAGUGGCAUUCCCAUAUUCUAAGAGAUUUUGGCAGGAAUUAUGUUGACAUAUAUAUGUGUAACUCAAGACUACAUGUAUGUAUGUUGGGGUAGGCAAUGAGGGUGGGGGGCAGUAGGCUUUCCCCCAUCUCAUAGCAAUCCCAAUUUCCUUGUGAAACCUCCAAUCACCAUUUUGAGAGGGACUGCAGACGGGAAUUGAAUACAGGGCAAUGUGGGGUUCGGGGUGGUAUUUUUAAAUGAUUCCACAAAAUUGGGGUGGUCCUGAGUAUUUUGGGGAAACAAAAAUUGCCCAACAAUCAUGUUGUUGUUGUUGAUAACUAAUUCAUGGAAUAUCUUGCACUCCACAUAAUUCACUAUUUUAAUUAUUGUCUUUUCAGGGUAGAACUGUGAACAUCUCAAUUCGAAGUGAAGGCAAAAAGCAUUUCCAUCUAUUUGAUUUGCCUUUACAACAUCACCUAAGCAGUUCUGAUUGGCUACAUGACAAUGUUUCCUAUACUUUAAUUUAGCUUCAUGAGGGGGAGGGCUACGAAUUUUAAAUACCAUUUUAAGUGUAUUUAUUGUAUUUUAAUUCUGUUUUUGCCUCACUGUUACUAUUUAAUUGUUCGUUUAACUUUUGUAUUGCACUUUUUAAACUUGUCUAGCAUGGAAUUGUGAACCAAAAAGGCUUACUUCUGAAUACAGAUGGAUGAAACUGCAUGUUUAAUGUCAAUGAAUGUCAAGGAUUUCAGAAAUCCAGGAAGAAAUAUCUCCAGUAGACGCAUAGCAGGAACAAAUAUCUAAAUCAGGCUCUUUGUCACUUUUACAGUAAGCCUUUCUGCAUUUAGCCUAGAAUGUUUCAGCCAACAUAAGAUGCUAAAAUAUCCCCUUCACCCCAAUGAAACUUCAUCCAUCUUGCUAUAAAAAAAGAAUAAAUCUGAAUAUGUUAUAA
This is a long non-coding RNA of Anolis carolinensis (green anole), 5950 nucleotides long. RefSeq lists it as uncharacterized. Lineage: Eukaryota; Metazoa; Chordata; Lepidosauria; Squamata; Anolidae. The transcript is spliced from 3 exons. The record is from RefSeq and is a predicted model, not a curated record.